This 71-nucleotide transfer RNA is filed under the name Cociella crocodilus (crocodile flathead). RNAcentral's name for it is "tRNA-Gln". It matches the Rfam family "tRNA". From Rfam's summary of the family: Transfer RNA (tRNA) molecules are approximately 80 nucleotides in length. Their secondary structure includes four short double-helical elements and three loops (D, anti-codon, and T loops). Further hydrogen bonds mediate the characteristic L-shaped molecular structure. tRNAs have two regions of fundamental functional importance: the anti-codon, which is responsible for specific mRNA codon recognition, and the 3' end, to which the tRNAs corresponding amino acid is attached (by aminoacyl-tRNA synthetases). tRNAs cope with the degeneracy of the genetic code in two manners: having more than one tRNA (with a specific anti-codon) for a particular amino acid; and 'wobble' base-pairing, i.e. permitting non-standard base-pairing at the 3rd anti-codon position. The record is from RNAcentral. Lineage: Eukaryota; Metazoa; Chordata; Actinopteri; Perciformes; Platycephalidae.
UAGGAAAUAGUGUAUAGGAAGCACUGAGAGUUUUGAUCUCUUAAGGUUGGGUUCGAGCCCCUUUUUUCUAA